This is a long non-coding RNA of Nyctereutes procyonoides (raccoon dog), 317 nucleotides long. RefSeq lists it as uncharacterized. The transcript has 3 exons. NCBI's taxonomy places the organism in Eukaryota, Metazoa, Chordata, Mammalia, Carnivora, Canidae. The record is from RefSeq and is a predicted model, not a curated record.
UCCCAGGCUUCCCGGCGGCAGGGGUCGGGGCAGGUAUGGGUGCAGCCCGCCGCCGGGUCCCGGCCGCCGCGGUCCAGUCGGCAGGGGGGCGCCAGAGGAGCGCCUGGGUCCCCGACUCGGAAGGGCACGCGCACCUUUGGAGAGCCGGGUGGAGGAGCGCCAGUGGGCCCAGUUUGUCAUCUUUUCUGCUGAUCAUUUAGUGCUUACACUCAGGUGGGAAUAAAUGAUGAGGAACGGAAGUGCAGUGCCUGAUGCAAAUGUCUUGAGAGGAACUACAGAAAACAUGAUCGGGGACCCUGUUCCUCCAUACAGCCCAG